RNAcentral lists this non-coding RNA (44 nucleotides) under Schistosoma curassoni. Lineage: Eukaryota; Metazoa; Platyhelminthes; Trematoda; Strigeidida; Schistosomatidae. The record is from RNAcentral.
AUCCAGUUGACGAGUCCCAAUUUGGACGAAACGUAGUCCUGGAU